This 600-nucleotide ribosomal RNA is filed under the name Qipengyuania flava. RNAcentral's name for it is "bacterial SSU rRNA". It matches the Rfam family "Bacterial small subunit ribosomal RNA", at positions 96 to 731 of the family's 1533-position model. Lineage: Bacteria; Pseudomonadati; Pseudomonadota; Alphaproteobacteria; Sphingomonadales; Erythrobacteraceae. The record is from RNAcentral.
UGGCGCACGGGUGCGUAACGCGUGGGAACCUGCCCUUAGGUUCGGAAUAACUCAGAGAAAUUUGAGCUAAUACCGGAUAAUGUCUUCGGACCAAAGAUUUAUCGCCUUUGGAUGGGCCCGCGUAGGAUUAGAUAGUUGGUGGGGUAAUGGCCUACCAAGUCGACGAUCCUUAGCUGGUCUGAGAGGAUGAUCAGCCACACUGGGACUGAGACACGGCCCAGACUCCUACGGGAGGCAGCAGUGGGGAAUAUUGGACAAUGGGCGAAAGCCUGAUCCAGCAAUGCCGCGUGAGUGAUGAAGGCCUUAGGGUUGUAAAGCUCUUUUACCAGGGAUGAUAAUGACAGUACCUGGAGAAUAAGCUCCGGCUAACUCCGUGCCAGCAGCCGCGGUAAUACGGAGGGAGCUAGCGUUGUUCGGAAUUACUGGGCGUAAAGCGCACGUAGGCGGCUUUUCAAGUCAGGGGUGAAAUCCCGGGGCUCAACCCCGGAACUGCCCUUGAAACUGGAUGGCUAGAAUACUGGAGAGGUGAGUGGAAUUCCGAGUGUAGAGGUGAAAUUCGUAGAUAUUCGGAAGAACACCAGUGGCGAAGGCGACUCACUG